UGACAUUGUAUGGAAGAGAUUGCAUCACUGU
Molecule: non-coding RNA, 31 nt
Filed under: Rattus norvegicus (Norway rat)
Lineage: Eukaryota; Metazoa; Chordata; Mammalia; Rodentia; Muridae
Source: RNAcentral